Molecule: ribosomal RNA, 397 nt
Filed under: uncultured bacterium
Lineage: Bacteria
Description: partial 16S ribosomal RNA
Rfam family: Bacterial small subunit ribosomal RNA
Source: RNAcentral
AUACGUAGGGGGCGAGCGUUGUCCGGAAUGACUGGGCGUAAAGGGCGUGUAGGCGGCGGUGUAAGUCUGGAGUGAAAGUCCCGCAUUCAAUGUGGGAAUUGCUUUGGAUACUGCAGUGCUAGAGUGCGGAAGGGGUAAGUGGAAUUCCCAGUGUAGCGGUGAAAUGCGUAGAGAUCAGGAGGAACACCGGUGGCGAAGGCGACUUUCUGGCUGACAACUGACGCUGAGGCGCGAAAGCGUGGGGAGCGAACAGGAUUAGAUACCCUGGUAGUCCACGCCGUAAACGAUGAAUGCUAGGUGUUGCGGGUAUCGACCCCUGCAGUGCCGGAGUAAACACAAUAAGCAUUCCGCCUGGGGAGUACGGCCGCAAGGUUGAAACUUAAAGGAAUUGGCGGGG